Molecule: ribosomal RNA, 254 nt
Filed under: uncultured bacterium
Lineage: Bacteria
Description: partial 16S ribosomal RNA
Rfam family: Bacterial small subunit ribosomal RNA
Source: RNAcentral
UACGUAGGGGGCAAGCGUUGUCCGGAUUUAUUGGGCGUAAAGAGCUCGUAGGCGGCUUGGCAAGUCGGGUGUGAAAUCUUCAGGCUCAACCUGGAGCGGCCACUCGAGACUGCCAUGGCUAGAGUCCGGUAGGGGACCACGGAAUUCCUGGUGUAGCGGUGAGAUGCGCAGAUAUCAGGAGGAACACCGGUGGCGAAGGCGGUGGUCUGGGCCGGAACUGACGCUGAGGAGCGAAAGCGUGGGUAGCAAACAGG